Molecule: unclassified non-coding RNA, 3290 nt
Filed under: Bactrocera latifrons
Lineage: Eukaryota; Metazoa; Arthropoda; Insecta; Diptera; Tephritidae
Description: transcription elongation regulator 1, transcript variant X4
Source: RNAcentral
UCUUGAAAAGUGUGUGAGAAUUUUGUCUAAGAAAAAUAUUUUCUGAAUUUAAGUAAGAAAAAGUUAUUUACUAUUCAACUUUUGUGACUAUGGACGCUGAAGUCGAAGGCAGUAUUGAAAAUAAUGUACAAUCUGGCGACGAAGUGGCGUCACCAUCUAUAGAUGGUGAAACUCCAUAUAAAGGUGGUGUUGGGCCUUCUCAGGAAAACAAUGCAACCCCUAAUAUAAAUGGAAAUGCGGGACAAGCAACGCCAGAUACAAGCGAAGGCGAAUCUCAAUGGACUCCAAACAAUCAAAGUGCUGCCACUGCUAAACCUUUUAGUAUGCCGCCAUUUGGUGGACCACCCGGAGCUUUUCGUGGUGGACGGGGAGGUAUUCAUAUAAUGCCUUUUGGUCGCGGUGGUGCUCGAGGAGGUGGCGGCAAUUUUGGCGGACGCGGACCGGGAAGCUUUGAUCCGAAUUGGCAGGGACAAAAUCAAAAUGGCCCACCAAAUAUGACAAACGGGCCACCACUCGAGCUGUGGGUGGAGACUAAGACAGAUGAUGGAAAAUCUUAUUUUUAUCAUGCCAUGACACGUGAAACAACAUGGACAAGACCAGAAGGUCAAAAUAUUAAGGUUAUGACUCAAGCAGAAAUUGAGGAAGUGAAUAAAAAACAGCAACCACCUCAACAGCAAUCUCAACAGAAUAACACACAGCAUGCGGAUGCUAAUGUUAAAGGGCCAGAGCCUAGUGGUCACGCUCAAGGUGGCAUGAUAGAUGCGCAAAAGGAGUUACCCCCCAUGUCGGUUGCUCCACCCAUGAAAGCACCAGAUACAUUGACACAACAUCCACCACCAAAUAUGAUGUCACAACCACCACCCACACAACAGACCUUGACGCAGCCACCACCAAAUGUAGUACCAAGCGGUGCGCCACCAAUGACUCAACAGCCUCCACCUUCUAUGCACCAACAGCCACCUCCAUUCUUUCCACCUGGUAUGCAUCCACCGAAUUUCUCGCAAACUCCAUUUGGAAUGCCUCCUCCUGGUUAUGGUGGCUUUCCAGGUGGACCAGCACCUUGGGGUAUGCCCUGGAAUCAGCACAUGCAUCCUCCACACGGUCCGCCGGUGCAAGACAAACCGGCAAAAAAUUUAAUUAUAAAACCUGGUGUAAUUGAUCCUGCUGUAAUUGCACGCGCUGCUGAAUGGUCCGAACAUCGUGCACCUGACGGACGUCCCUAUUACUAUCAUGCCGGUCGCGGCGAGAGUGUUUGGGAGAAACCACAAGCGUUACGCGACAUGGAAGCAGCACGCAUGGCUGCUCAUUCGGGCACAACUCCGCAACAGGCAGUGGCUCCCCAAGUCGCACCCACCAUGCCACCACACAUGAUGCCCAAUCCUGCCCUUAUGCACAUGACGCCGGCAGCCGGCGGUUAUGAACAGGCUAUGGCGUAUAAUGCUGCUGCUGCCGCAGCCGCCGCCGCCGCUGCAGCAGCUGCUGCCAAUCUCAAACCCAUCGAACAAACCAAAGCGGCGCAAGCUGCGGCAUUGGAAAAAGAAUCCAGGAAGGUGGCAGAGGAAAAACGAAAGAAAGAGGAGGAGCAACAAAAGAAAGUUACGGCAACAACAGCAAAACCAGUAGAUAAAUCACGUCCUAUAUCAAGUACUCCGAUCGCUGGUACACCAUGGUGUGUCGUUUGGACAGGUGAUGCGAGGGUUUUUUUCUAUAAUCCUUCCACACGAACAUCUGUUUGGGAAAGACCUGACGAUUUGAUAGACCGUGCCGACGUAGACAAAGCAGUCAACAAUCCGCCGGAACAGUUAAAGGCUGCUGGUAAUGUCGCUGCGGAGAAACAGGUCGAAAAGAUUGAGACAGAGAAGAAAAAAGAGGUUGAAAUUCCCGAGGAAGAGGAAGAAGAAGAGCAAGAAGAUGAUGAAGUCAUCAAAAUACGCACUGAAUCUGAAUCCAGUGUGGAAGAAGUACCAACGAAGAAGUCCCGAUUAUCCGCAAAGCAAACCAGGAAAGCGGAUGCCAACGAAGCAGCCGUGGAAGCUGAGGUACGCGCGGCUAAGGAGCGCGCUGUAGUGCCAUUAGAGACACGUGUCAAACAGUUUAAAGAAAUGUUGCGUGAAAAAGAUGUAUCAGCAUUUAGCACUUGGGAGAAGGAGCUACACAAAAUUGUUUUCGAUCCACGUUAUUUGCUGCUAACCUCCAAGGAGCGCAAACAGGUGUUUGAAAAGUACGUUAAAGAUCGCGCUGAAGAGGAACGCAAGGAGAAGCGCAAUAAGAUGCGUCAAAAGCGCGAAGAUUUUCGCAAGCUUAUGGAAGAUGCAAAGCUGCAUGGAAAGUCCUCAUUCAGUGAGUUUUGUCAGCGUUAUGGCAAAGAUGAUCGGUAUAAAGCUAUCGAAAAGGUGCGCGAACGUGAGAGCCUCUUCAACGAGUAUAUUGUAGAUGUGCGUCGUCAAGAAAAAGAGGAGAAAAUACAAAAAAAGGAACAGGUAUGUGCGUGUUCCCUUAAAUGCAUGCGGGCCGAGAAUGCGUUUGUUAGCACAGUUAAUUUGGGUUUUGGGCCGCAGCAAACGUAUUUCUUAUUUAAAUAUUUAGUAUUUCGUAUUUUUAAAUGAUUAAUUGAAUUUUUCAUACGUCUCUAUUUGUAUAUACACUUAUUAUAUUGUUAAUGCUUCACAGCAAAGUUUAUACUUUUUAUUUUUUAUAAAAAUUUUCUUCACUCUAAUCUUGAUAUCUCAAAACAAAUCAAACAAAAAAAUCUACCACUACUACUUCAACGAUUAUAAAUAUCGGCUAAACUACGCACGAACAACAAAUUGUCAACCAACUACAAAAAAACAUAGUCAAUUGCAACCAAUCAUGUGAUUAUAGGUCAGCUGCUUGAAGUGUGUUUAAAACCAAUACUAUUUUGCUUAGCCGCGUAAAAGUUGGUUGACUUAGAAAAACAGCAAAAUUGCUAAAUAUCGUUUUUAGGCUGCAGUAUAAACGUAAGGAAAACGCAGCAAAUAAUAUGUAGCAGCGUAACGUGUGACUGACUGAUAAUUCAUGGUCAUCCAGCUGCCAACGACCGCAUCAAAUUGCAUUGAUCCGCCAGGCAACCAUGUCCAUCCUGCUACUACCACCCAUCAACCCAGUGACUUGCCUGUUCGUUAGUACCUUCACGCCUGCUCGGCACGUUUUCCCCAAAUUGUUUGUGUCUAUCUAGCUCGAGCUCGUGGAACGUCGGCACGUCGGCACGUCACAUGUUACAUAUUGAAGCUAUUUGGAUGCGCACUGACAAAUGGUGUAUAUUGAUGGAU